GGGAUUUUAUUUUUUUUCUGGGCUGGCUUCUGUGUAAUUUGUUGGGGCUUUUUGUCCAAUACCCCUUCUCGGUUAGGGUUUACUCCGUUUUCUCCUUCUUCACCGCUCAAGAACAACCAUGUCGAUUAUGUCUUCCAAAUCGACCUUCCAUCAUCUUAACCGGUUUUUCAUCUUAAAACCCUCCAUUACUCUCUCACAAACGAUCUGUAUUCAAUGCGAUUUCUGGAUCUGCAAGGCGGUGGAGACUAACCACUCCUUCUUCAGUGUUCAAGUUUGUUUGCUUCGUUUUUGUGAGGCUAUGAAUGUCGGCCAGGGUGGAGUGCUCCUACAGUCCUACUAAACUCUCAGACGUUUCCACCGUCUUCAAGCGGUAGUACCAACAAAGUGUCUUCUACCAAGUCAGAAGAGGGGACAUACAUAUGCCUCAGUUAUGGUAAAUAUGUCCAAGGAACCAUUCCCAUGAUGAGGACAAAGGAAGUUGAUGUCUUAGAGCAAGUUCAGUCAAAAGAUAUUGCUAAAGCAGUCAUAAUCCAUCAAUUACACGGCCAGAGAUUGUAGGCAAGUUCUACAUGAGACUAUCAUUCCAUUCUCUGAGUUUUUAUAUAUUGUAAUUUGUAACCAAAGCUGAUAAGUGGGACCCCUCCAAAAAUUAGAGAAAACGGUAGAAGUAAUUAACAAAGGCAAUCCCACAUGAUUCCAACGAAUAUGUAAAACUAGACCACCUCCAUUGGUUAGAACCCUUAAUGGAUUCUUAAAAUUAAUUUAAUAGUUAAUUAU
Long non-coding RNA from Brassica napus (rape), 777 nucleotides. RefSeq lists it as uncharacterized. The record is from RefSeq and is a predicted model, not a curated record. NCBI's taxonomy places the organism in Eukaryota, Viridiplantae, Streptophyta, Magnoliopsida, Brassicales, Brassicaceae. The transcript has 3 exons.